CGGACGGGUGAGUAACACGUGGAUAAUCUGCCCUGCACAGGGGGACAACAGCUAGAAAUGGCUGCUAAUACCGCAUAAGCCUACAGCCUCGCAUGAGGGAGUAGGAAAAGAAAUUCGGUGCAGGAUGAGUCCGCGUCUGAUUAGCUAGUUGGAGGGGUAAAAGCCCACCAAGGCAACGAUCAGUAGCCGGCCUGAGAGGGCGACCGGCCACAUUGGGACUGAGACACGGCCCAAACCCCUACGGGAGGCAGCAG
RNAcentral lists this ribosomal RNA (254 nucleotides) under uncultured bacterium. RNAcentral describes it as "partial 16S ribosomal RNA". It matches the Rfam family "Bacterial small subunit ribosomal RNA", at positions 99 to 354 of the family's 1533-position model. The record is from RNAcentral.